AAAUAGAUUGCUUAUUGUAUCACAUCUGAUCAAAUCUCAACUUCUAUAGGUGAUAAACGGUUUAAAAAAUAGAAAGUAACUCAAUGAAGUUCAAAUUUAUUUUUGGGAAAUGCUAACUGGUACCCCCGGGGAACUGGUUAAGAAUAUAAAAAAGGAAAUUAUAUAGUAAUUAAUGCAUUAAAAUAUGUUGAAAUAGUGACGAAUUUUAAUGAAGG
This 215-nucleotide long non-coding RNA is filed under the name Medicago truncatula (barrel medic). RNAcentral's name for it is "long non-coding RNA (MTRU_LNC000705)". Lineage: Eukaryota; Viridiplantae; Streptophyta; Magnoliopsida; Fabales; Fabaceae. The record is from RNAcentral.